This 245-nucleotide ribosomal RNA is filed under the name uncultured bacterium. RNAcentral describes it as "partial 16S ribosomal RNA". It matches the Rfam family "Bacterial small subunit ribosomal RNA", at positions 333 to 592 of the family's 1533-position model. The record is from RNAcentral.
CUAGGCCUACGGGGGGCAGCAGUGGGGAAUAUUGGGCAAUGGGCGCAAGCCUGACCCAGCAACGCCGCGUGAAGGAAGAAGGCUUUCGGGUUGUAAACUUCUUUUCUCAGGGACGAAGAAAGUGACGGUACCUGAGGAAUAAGCCACGGCUAACUACGUGCCAGCAGCCGCGGUAAUACGUAGGUGGCAAGCGUUAUCCGGAUUUACUGGGUGUAAAGGUCGUGUAGGCGGGGAGGCAAGUCAGA